This 254-nucleotide ribosomal RNA is filed under the name uncultured bacterium. RNAcentral describes it as "partial 16S ribosomal RNA". It matches the Rfam family "Bacterial small subunit ribosomal RNA", at positions 524 to 776 of the family's 1533-position model. The record is from RNAcentral.
GACAGAGGGUGCAAACGUUGUUCGGAAUUACUGGGCGUAAAGCGCGUGUAGGCUGCUCGGAAAGUCGGAUGUGAAAGCCCUGGGCUCAACCUAGGAAGUGCAUUCGAAACUUCCGAGCGUGGAGUGCUGGAGAGGAAGGCGGAAUUCUCGGUGUAGAGGUGAAAUGCGUAGAUAUCGGGAGGAAUACCUAUGGCGAAAGCAGGCUACUGGACCGUCACUGACUCUGAUCUGCGAAAGCUAGGGGAGCAAACAGG